GGCGAACGCUGGCGGCGUGCUUAACACAUGCAAGUCGAACGGAAAGGCCCUGCUUUUGUGGGGUGCUCGAGUGGCGAACGGGUGAGUAACACGUGAGUAACCUGCCCUUGACUUUGGGAUAACUUCAGGAAACUGGGGCUAAUACCGGAUAGGAGCUCCUGCUGCAUGGUGGGGGUUGGAAAGUUUCGGCGGUGGGGGAUGGUCUCGCGGCUUAUCAGCUGGUUGGUGGGGUAGGGGCUGACAAGGGCUUUGACGGGUAGCCGGCAUGGGAGGGUGACCGGCCACAUUGGGACUGAGAUACGGCGCAGACUCCUACGGGAGGCAGCAGUGGGGAAUAUUACACAAUGGGGGGAAGCCUGAUGCAGCAACGCCGCGUGCGUGAUGACGGCCUUCGAGUUGUAAACCGCUUUCUCCUGUGACGAAGAGUGCGUGACGGUAAUGGGUCAAGAAGCACCGGCUAACUACGUG
Molecule: ribosomal RNA, 468 nt
Filed under: uncultured bacterium
Lineage: Bacteria
Description: partial 16S ribosomal RNA
Rfam family: Bacterial small subunit ribosomal RNA
Source: RNAcentral